This 597-nucleotide ribosomal RNA is filed under the name uncultured soil bacterium. RNAcentral describes it as "bacterial SSU rRNA". It matches the Rfam family "Bacterial small subunit ribosomal RNA", at positions 35 to 623 of the family's 1533-position model. The record is from RNAcentral.
GCUGGCGGCAUGCUUUACACAUGCAAGUCGAGCGGCAGCGCGGGGGCAACCCUGGCGSCGAGCGGCGAACGGGUGAGUAACACAUCGGAACGUAUCCCGUAGUGGGGGAUAACCCGGCGAAAGCCGGGCUAAUACCGCGUAUGCUCUACGGAGGAAAGUGGGGGACUUCGCAAGGGGCCUCACGCUAUGGGAGCGGCCGAUGUCCGAUUAGCUAGUUGGUGGGGUAAAGGCCUACCAAGGCGACGAUCGGUAGCUGGUCUGAGAGGAUGAUCAGCCACACUGGGACUGAGACACGGCCCAGACUCCUACGGGAGGCAGCAGUGGGGAAUUUUGGACAAUGGGGGCAACCCUGAUCCAGCCAUGCCGCGUGCGGGAAGAAGGCCUUCGGGUUGUAAACCGCUUUUAGUCGGGAAGAAAGGGUUCUCCUGAAUACGGAGGAUUUUUGACGGUACCGGCGGAAUAAGCACCGGCUAACUACGUGCCAGCAGCCGCGGUAAUACGUAGGGUGCGAGCGUUAAUCGGAAUUACUGGGCGUAAAGCGUGCGCAGGCGGUUCUCCAAGUCCGUUGUGAAAGCCCCGGGCUCAACCUGGGAAUGG